RNAcentral lists this ribosomal RNA (292 nucleotides) under uncultured bacterium. RNAcentral's name for it is "partial 16S ribosomal RNA". It matches the Rfam family "Bacterial small subunit ribosomal RNA", at positions 505 to 796 of the family's 1533-position model. The record is from RNAcentral.
GUGUCAGCCGCCGCGGUAAUACGUAGGCAGCAAGCGUUGUUCGGAGUUACUGGGCGUAAAGAGUGCGUAGGCGGUCCUUUAAGUUCGGUGUGAAAUCUCCCGGCUCAACUGGGAGGGUGCGCCGGAAACUGGAGGGCUCGAGUAUGGGAGAGGAAAGCGGAAUUCCUGGUGUAGCGGUGAAAUGCGUAGAUAUCAGGAGGAACACCUGCGGUGUAGACGGCUUUCUGGACCAUGACUGACGCUGAGGCACGAAAGCGUGGGGAGCAAACAGGAUUAGAUACCCCGGUAGUCC